Molecule: non-coding RNA, 401 nt
Organism: Nylanderia fulva
Lineage: Eukaryota; Metazoa; Arthropoda; Insecta; Hymenoptera; Formicidae
Source: RefSeq, a predicted model, not a curated record
UUCCUUUUCAAAAUGUAUAUUUUCAUGAAUUUAAAAAUUAUGUAUUACAAAAUGUAAUUGAAUGCAUAUAUUCAAGAAGAUUACAAGUCUCAAGAUAUGUCAAUUUUUCAGGAAAUUGGGUGCCAGGUCAAAAAAUUAAUUUUUUGAUUUUCUGUGAAAAUUUUUAUUAUACAAAUUUCAUCUUCUGGAAUAAUUUAGUUCAAAUCUAGAACAACCUGGAACUUUUAAAAUUUUGAAAUUCCAAAAUUGAGUGCUUUAUGCACAUAUUCAACUAGUGUUCAACAUUAAAGCUGGAUUCUGUAAUUAAAAUGAAUUUAAUCGACAAGAAAUUUUUUGUCAAAUGAUAAGAUUUGGAAGAAAAGACUGAGAGAUUGAAAGGAAUCUAAGGAAAAUCACAGAAU